Molecule: ribosomal RNA, 478 nt
Filed under: uncultured bacterium
Lineage: Bacteria
Description: partial 16S ribosomal RNA
Rfam family: Bacterial small subunit ribosomal RNA
Source: RNAcentral
GACGAACGCUGGCGGCGUGCUUAACACAUGCAAGUCGAACGGUAAGGCCCUUCGGGGUACACGAGUGGCGAACGGGUGAGUAACACAUGGGUGAUCUGCCCUGCACUUCGGGAUAAGCCUGGGAAACUGGGUCUAAUACCGGAUAGGACUCCGGACUGCAUGGUCUGGGGUGGAAAGCUUUUGCGGUGUGGGAUGGGCCCGCGGCCUAUCAGCUUGUUGGUGGGGUGAUGGCCUACCAAGGCGACGACGGGUAGCCGGCCUGAGAGGGUGACCGGCCACACUGGGACUGAGACACGGCCCAGACUCCUACGGGAGGCAGCAGUGGGGAAUAUUGCACAAUGGGCGCGAGCCUGAUGCAGCGACGCCGCGUGAGGGAUGACGGCCUUCGGGUUGUAAACCUCUUUCAGCAUCGACGAAGCGAAAGUGACGGUAGGUGCAGAAGAAGGACCGGCCAACUACGUGCCAGCCGCCGCAGUAA